GGUUUAAUUCGAUGAUACGCGAGGAACCUUACCCGGGCUUGAACUGUAGGCGAACGAUACAGAGAUGUUGAGGCCCUUCGGGGCGCCUAUGGAGGUGCUGCAUGGUUGUCGUCAGCUCGUGCCGUGAGGUGUCGGCUUAAGUGCCAUAACGAGCGCAACCCUUGCUCUCAGUUGCCAUCGGUUAAAGCCGGGCACUCUGUGAGGACUGCCUCCGCAAGGAGUGA
RNAcentral lists this ribosomal RNA (224 nucleotides) under uncultured bacterium. Its description in RNAcentral is "partial 16S ribosomal RNA". It matches the Rfam family "Bacterial small subunit ribosomal RNA", at positions 943 to 1167 of the family's 1533-position model. The record is from RNAcentral.